GGGUCUUUAGCUCAGCGGUAGAGCGGCAGACUUCGGCUUUGAACUGAAGUGUUCCUGAUAACCAAUCUGGUCUUCUGCAGGUCGCGGGUUCAAUCCCCGUAGGACUCU
This 108-nucleotide transfer RNA is filed under the name Testicularia cyperi. It matches the Rfam family "tRNA". Rfam says of the family: Transfer RNA (tRNA) molecules are approximately 80 nucleotides in length. Their secondary structure includes four short double-helical elements and three loops (D, anti-codon, and T loops). Lineage: Eukaryota; Fungi; Basidiomycota; Ustilaginomycetes; Ustilaginales; Anthracoideaceae. The record is from Rfam by way of RNAcentral.